CCUACGGGAGGCAGCAGUGGGGAAUAUUGCGCAAUGGGCGAAAGCCUGACGCAGCGACGCCGCGUGAGGGAUGAAGGUCUUCGGAUCGUAAACCUCUGUCAGCAUGGAAGUACGGUCACUGUGCUAAUCAGCAUUGAAUUGACGGUACCUGCAAAGGAAGCAUCGGCUAACUCCGUGCCAGCCGCUGCUGUAAUACGGAGGGUGCGUGCGUUAAUUGGAAUUACUGGGCGUAAAGCGCUCGUAGGCGGUAUGUCAAGUCACGGGUGAAAGGCCCGCGCUCAACGUUAGAACUGCAUUUGAAACUGGCAGACUGGAGUGUGUGAGAGGAUAGUGGAAUUCGAGGUGUAGGAGUGAAAUCCGUAGAUAUCUGGAAGAACACCAGUGGCGAAGGCGGCUAACUGGAACAUAACUGACGCUGAGGAGCGAAAGCGUGGGUAGCAAACAGGAUUAGAUACCCUUGUAGUC
RNAcentral lists this ribosomal RNA (465 nucleotides) under uncultured bacterium. RNAcentral describes it as "partial 16S ribosomal RNA". It matches the Rfam family "Bacterial small subunit ribosomal RNA", at positions 338 to 795 of the family's 1533-position model. The record is from RNAcentral.